UACAGAGGGGGCGAGCGUUAUUCGGAAUUAUUGGGCGUAAAGGGCGCGUAGGCGGUCUGACAAGUGGAAGGUGAAAUCCCUCGGCUUAACCGAGGAACUGCCCUCCAAACUGUUUGACUUGAGUCCGGGAGAGGUGAGUGGAAUUCCCAGUGUAGCGGUGAAAUGCGUAGAUAUUGGGAGGAACACCAGUGGCGAAGGCGGCUCACUGGACCGGAACUGACGCUGAGGCGCGAAAGCGUGGGGAGCAAACAGG
Molecule: ribosomal RNA, 253 nt
Filed under: uncultured bacterium
Lineage: Bacteria
Description: partial 16S ribosomal RNA
Rfam family: Bacterial small subunit ribosomal RNA
Source: RNAcentral